AGAGUUUGAUCAUGGCUCAGGAUGAACGCUAGCGGCGUGCCUAACACAUGCAAGUCGAACGUGAGGAAGCCUUCGGGCUUCUGAAAGUGGCGGACGGGUGAGGAAUACGUAGGUGACCUGCCUUCGAGUGGGGGAUAACCACGGGAAACUGUGGCUAAUACCGCAUACGUUGAACCAGUCGGGAGACGGUUCAAUAAAGCUUUAGUGCUGGGAGAGGGGCCUACGUCCGAUUAGUUAGUUGGUGAGGUAACGGCUCACCAAGGCGAUGAUCGGUAGCUGGUCUGAGAGGACGAUCAGCCACACGGGAACUGAGACACGGUCCCGACUCCUACGGGGGGCAGCAGUGAGGAAUAUUCGGCAAUGGGGGCAACCCUGACCGAGCAACGCCGCGUGGAGGAUGACGGUUUUUGGAUUGUAAACUCCUUUUCUGUGGGAAGAGACAGGACGGUACCACAGGAAUAAGUCACGGCUAACUACGUGCCAGCCGCCGCGGUAAUAC
This 499-nucleotide ribosomal RNA is filed under the name uncultured bacterium. RNAcentral's name for it is "bacterial SSU rRNA". It matches the Rfam family "Bacterial small subunit ribosomal RNA", at positions 8 to 526 of the family's 1533-position model. The record is from RNAcentral.